RNAcentral lists this ribosomal RNA (2979 nucleotides) under anaerobic digester metagenome. RNAcentral describes it as "bacterial LSU rRNA". It matches the Rfam family "Bacterial large subunit ribosomal RNA". The record is from RNAcentral.
UCAAGCGACUAAGUGCAUGUGGUGGAUGCCUUGGCGAUCACAGGCGAUGAAGGACGUGUAAGCCUGCGAAAAGCGUGGGGGAGCUGGCAAUAGAGCUUUGAUCCCACGAUGUCCGAAUGGGGAAACCCACCCCGCAAGGGGUAUCCCAGACUGAAUACAUAGGUCUGAGGAGGCGAACCGAGCGAACUGAAACAUCUAAGUAGCUCGAGGAACAGAAAUCAACCGAGAUUCCGCAAGUAGUGGCGAGCGAACGCGGAACAGCCUGCACGACUAAACCAUCAGCUUAGCAAAACGGUCUGGAAAGUCCGACGAUACAGGGUGAUAGUCCCGUAUGCGAAAAGCCGGUGGCGGGUCUGAGCGUGCGACAAGUAGGGCGGGACACGAGAAAUCCUGUCUGAAGAUGGGGGGACCAUCCUCCAAGGCUAAAUACUCGUGAUCGACCGAUAGUGAACCAGUACCGUGAGGGAAAGGCGAAAAGAACCCCGGGAGGGGAGUGAAAUAGAUCCUGAAACCGCAUGCAUACAAACAGUGGGAGCCUCGUAAGGGGUGACUGCGUACCUUUUGUAUAAUGGGUCAGCGACUUACGUUCUGUAGCGAGCUUAACCGAGUAGGGGAGGCGUAGCGAAAGCGAGUCUGAUAAGGGCGACUGAGUUGCAGGGCGUAGACCCGAAACCGGAUGAUCUAUCCAUGGCCAGGAUGAAGGUGCCGUAACAGGUACUGGAGGUCCGAACCCACUAACGUUGAAAAGUUAGGGGAUGAGCUGUGGAUAGGGGUGAAAGGCUAAACAAAUCCGGAAAUAGCUGGUUCUCCCCGAAAACUAUUUAGGUAGUGCGUCGUACGGACACUUGCGGGGGUAGAGCACUGUAAUCGUUGGGGGGGUCAUUGCGAUCUACCCCGCGAUAGCAAACUCCGAAUACCGCAAAGUGAUAUACGGCAGACAGACAUCGGGUGCUAACGUCCGGUGUCAAGAGGGAAACAACCCAGACCGCCAGCUAAGGUCCCAAAUGCAUGGCUAAGUGGCAAACGAGGUGGGAAGGCAUAGACAGCUAGGAGGUUGGCUUAGAAGCAGCCACCCUUUAAAGAAAGCGUAAUAGCUCACUAGUCGAGUCGUCCUGCGCGGAAGAUGUAACGGGGCUCAAGCCAUGAACCGAAGCUGCGGAUGUGUCUUUGACACGUGGUAGGGGAGCGUUCCGUAAGCCUGCGAAGGUGUCUCGUAAGGGAUGCUGGAGGUAUCGGAAGUGCGAAUGCUGACAUGAGUAGCGAUAAAGGGUGUGAAAAGCACCCUCGCCGUAAGCCCAAGGUUUCCUGCGCAACGUUCAUCGGCGCAGGGUGAGUCGGCCCCUAAGGCGAGGCAGAAAUGCGUAGUCGAUGGGAAACAGGUCAAUAUUCCUGUACCGCUCUAUGAUGCGAUGGGGGGACGGAGAAGGUUAGCUCGGCCAUCUGUUGGAAUAGGUGGUUUAAGCGUGUAGGCGUGCCGCGUAGGCAAAUCCGCGUGGCUUAGCUGAGGCGUGAUGACGAGGAUCCUCGGAUCCGAAGUGAGUGAUACCCAGCUUCCAGGAAAAGCCUCUAAGCUUCAGUCAUAGAGUGACCGUACCGCAAACCGACACAGGUGGGCUGGUAGAGAAUACCAAGGCGCUUGAGAGAACUCAGGAGAAGGAACUCGGCAAAUUGAUACCGUAACUUCGGGAGAAGGUAUGCCCCUGGUACGUGAAGGCCCUCGCGGCCGGAGCGGAACGGGGUCGCAGAGAAUCGGUGGCUGCGACUGUUUAUUAAAAACACAGCACUCUGCAAACACGAAAGUGGACGUAUAGGGUGUGACGCCUGCCCGGUGCCGGAAGGUUAAGUGAUGGGGUGCAAGCUCUUGAUCGAAGCCCCGGUAAACGGCGGCCGUAACUAUAACGGUCCUAAGGUAGCGAAAUUCCUUGUCGGGUAAGUUCCNNNNNNNNNNNNNNNNNNNNNNNNNNNNNNNNNNNNNNGGCGGCCGUAACUAUAACGGUCCUAAGGUAGCGAAAUUCCUUGUCGGGUAAGUUCCGACCUGCACGAAUGGCGUAACGAUGGCCACACUGUCUCCUCCUGAGACUCAGCGAAGUUGAAAUGUUUGUGAAGAUGCAAUCUCCCCGCGGCUAGACGGAAAGACCCCAUGAACCUUUACUGUAGCUUUGCAUUGGACUUUGACGGGACUUGUGUAGGAUAGGUGGGAGGCUAUGAAGCCAGAACGCUAGUUCUGGUGGAGCCGUCCUUGAAAUACCACCCUGGUGUCGUCGAGGUUCUAACCCAGGCCUGUGAAUCCAGGUCGGGGACCGUGCAUGGUGGGCAGUUUGACUGGGGCGGUCUCCUCCCAAAAGGUAACGGAGGAGUACGAAGGUCACCUAGGUACGGUCGGACAUCGUACUGAUAGUGCAAUGGCAAAAGGUGGCUUGACUGCGAGACCCACAAGUCGAGCAGGUGCGAAAGCAGGUCAUAGUGAUCCGGUGGUUCUGUAUGGAAGGGCCAUCGCUCAACGGAUAAAAGGUACUCUGGGGAUAACAGGCUGAUUCCGCCCAAGAGUUCACAUCGACGGCGGAGUUUGGCACCUCGAUGUCGGCUCAUCACAUCCUGGGGCUGUAGCCGGUCCCAAGGGUAUGGCUGUUCGCCAUUUAAAGUGGUACGUGAGCUGGGUUUAAAACGUCGUGAGACAGUUUGGUCCCUAUCUGCCGUGGGCGCUGGAAGUUUGAGAGGGCCUGCUCCUAGUACGAGAGGACCGGAGUGGACGCACCCCUGGUGUACCGGUUGUGACGCCAGUCGCAUCGCCGGGUAGCUAUGUGCGGAAGAGAUAACCGCUGAAAGCAUCUAAGCGGGAAACUCGCCUCAAGAUGAGACUUCCCCGGGGCCUCGAGCCCCCUGAAGGGUCGUUGAAGACCACAACGUUGAUAGGCCGGGUGUGUAAGCGUGGCAACACGUUCAGCUAACCGGUACUAAUUGCCCGUGUGGCUUGAUCCU